This 490-nucleotide ribosomal RNA is filed under the name Planococcus maitriensis. Its description in RNAcentral is "bacterial SSU rRNA". It matches the Rfam family "Bacterial small subunit ribosomal RNA", at positions 38 to 512 of the family's 1533-position model. The record is from RNAcentral. Lineage: Bacteria; Bacillati; Bacillota; Bacilli; Caryophanales; Caryophanaceae.
GGCGGCGUGCCUAAUACAUGCAAGUCGAGCGGAGAUCUUGGAGCUUGCUCCAGGAUCUUAGCGGCGGACGGGUGAGUAACACGUGGGCAACCUGCCCUGCAGAUCGGGAUAACUCCGGGAAACCGGUGCUAAUACCGAAUAGUUUGCGGCCUCUCAUGAGGCCACACGGAAAGACGGUUUCGGCUGUCACUGCAGGAUGGGCCCGCGGCGCAUUAGCUAGUUGGUGGGGUAACGGCCUACCAAGGCAACGAUGCGUAGCCGACCUGAGAGGGUGAUCGGCCACACUGGGACUGAGACACGGCCCAGACUCCUACGGGAGGCAGCAGUAGGGAAUCUUCCGCAAUGGACGAAAGUCUGACGGAGCAACGCCGCGUGAGUGAAGAAGGUUUUCGGAUCGUAAAACUCUGUUGUGAGGGAAGAACAAGUACCAACUAACUAUUGGUACCUUGACGGUACCUCACCAGAAAGCCACGGCUAACUACGUGCCAGC